RNAcentral lists this ribosomal RNA (407 nucleotides) under uncultured bacterium. RNAcentral describes it as "bacterial SSU rRNA". It matches the Rfam family "Bacterial small subunit ribosomal RNA", at positions 355 to 762 of the family's 1533-position model. The record is from RNAcentral.
UGGGGAAUCUUGCGCAAUGGCCUAACGGCUGACGCAGCGACGCCGCGUGAGGGAUGACGCUCCUCGGAGUGUAAACCUCUCUUGCCCGGGACGAAUUGCCAACAUUCGUUGGCUUGACGGUACCGGGUGAAUAAGCACCGGCUAACUCCGUGCCAGCAGCCGCGGUAAUACGGGGGGUGCGAGCGUUGUCCGGAAUCACUGGGCGUAAAGGGCGCGUAGGUGGUCUGAUAAGGGUGUGGUGAAAGCCCCGGGCUUAACCUGGGAAUUGCGUUUGAAACGACAAGGCUAGAGUGCAGCAGAGGGGAGGGGAAUUCCAUGUGUAGCAGUGAAAUGCGGAGAGAUGUGGAAGAACACCGAUGGCGAAGGCAGCUCCCUGGGUUGACACUGACGCUCAUGCACGAAAGCGU